GCGGCCUCUGACCUAGGGAUGGAGGCCUGUAUGGCCCCGAAGGCAUCCUACCUGCAAGGAGGACGCUGCGGCCUCAGGGCAAGGGGCGCUGGCAGCAGCUGUGGGAGACCCCGACGCUGCUGUGGGAAGCGCCGAGACUGGGGCUGGACACGGCCCAGGGCCUGGAGCUGCUGAGCCUGCUGGGCGCACUACUGGCCCUGGGGGCCCUGCUGCUGAGCCCACUGCGCCACCCCGUCAUCUACCUGCUGCUUUGGGCCGCCUACCUGUCGGCCUGCCAGGUGGGCCAGGUGUUCCUGUAUUUCCAGUGGGACUCUCUGCUGCUAGAGACUGGCUUCCUGGCCGUGCUGGUGGCCCCGCUGAGGCCAGCCUCCCACCGCAAGGAGGCCCCCCAGGGCAGGCAGGCAGGGGCCCUGCCCCACGAAGACCUCCCCUUCUGGCUGGUGCGCUGGCUGCUGUUCCGCCUCAUGUUCGCCUCAGGCGUAGUCAAGCUGACCAGCCGCUGCCCCGCAUGGUGGGGGCUCACUGGUGAGGGGCCCGGCCUGGACCUGGGGUAGUCUAGGGGCUCGGCCAGCCCUGACUCCUGCCCUUGCCUGCAGCCCUCACCUACCACUACGAGACCCAGUGCCUGCCCACGCCCGCCGCCUGGUUCGCACACCACUUGCCCGUCUGGCUGCACAAGCUCAGCGUGGUGGCCACCUUCCUGAUUGAGAUCGCCGUGCCGCCCCUGUUCUUCGCCCCCAUUCGACGCCUGCGCUUGGCUGCCUUCUACUCGCAGGUGCUGCUGCAGGUCUUGAUUAUCAUCACCGGCAACUACAACUUCUUCAACCUGAUGACGCUGGUGCUUACCACUGCACUGCUGGACGACCAACACCUGGCUGCUGAGCCUGGCCACGGC
RNAcentral lists this small RNA (895 nucleotides) under Pongo abelii (Sumatran orangutan). Its description in RNAcentral is "processed transcript". Lineage: Eukaryota; Metazoa; Chordata; Mammalia; Primates; Hominidae. The record is from RNAcentral.